This 460-nucleotide ribosomal RNA is filed under the name uncultured bacterium. RNAcentral describes it as "bacterial SSU rRNA". It matches the Rfam family "Bacterial small subunit ribosomal RNA", at positions 340 to 786 of the family's 1533-position model. The record is from RNAcentral.
UACGGGAGGCAGCAGUGGGGAAUAUUGCACAAUGGGCGAAAGCCUGAUGCAGCUAUGCCGCGUGUAUGAAGAAGGCCUUAGGGUUGUAAAGUACUUUCAUCGGGGAGGAAAAAACAAAACUAAUAAUUUUAUUUCUUGACGUUACCCGAAAAAGAAGCACCGGCUAACUCCGUGCCAGCAGCCGCGGUAAUACGGAGGGUGCUAGCGUUAAUCAGAAUUACUGGGCGUAAAGAGCACGUAGGUGGUUUUUUUAAAGUCAGAUGUGAAAUCCCUGGGCUUAACCUAGGAACUGCAUUUUGAAACUGAAAUACUAGAGUAUCGUAGAGGGAGGUAGAAUUCUAGGUGUAGCGGUGAAAUGCGUAGAUAUCUGGAGGAAUACCUGUGGCGAAAGCGGCCUCCUAAACGAAUACUGACACUGAGGGUGCGAAAGCGUGGGGAGCAAAACGAGGGAUUAGAUACC